AGGGUUUGAUUAUGGCUCAGAUUGAACGUUGGCGGCAGGCCUUAUACAUGCAAGUCGAACGGUAACAGCGGAGCUUGCUCCGGCUGACGAGUGGCGGACGGGUGAGUAACGCGUAGGAAUCUACCCAGUAGCGGGGGAUAGCCCGAGGAAACUCGGAUUAAUACCGCAUACGCCCUAAGGGGGAAAGGCCGGGAUCUUCGGACCGGUCACUAUUGGAGGAGCCUGCGUUGGAUUAGCUAGUUGGUGAGGUAAAGGCUCACCAAGGCAACGAUCCAUAGCUGGUCUGAGAGGACGAUCAGCCACACUGGAACUGAGACACGGUCCAGACUCCUACGGGAGGCAGCAGUAGGGAAUCUUGUGCAAUGGGGGAAACCCUGACACAGCCAUGCCGCGUGUGUGAAGAAGGCCUUAGGGUUGUAAAGCACUUUCAGCAGGGAGGAAUUAGCACGGUUAAUACCCGUGAUCUGUGACGUUACCAACAGAAUAAGCACCGGCUAACUCCGUGCCAGCAGCCGCGGUAAUACGGAGGGUGCAAGCGUUAAUCGGAAUUACUGGGCGUAAAGCGCGCGUAGGUGGUUGUGUAAGUGGAAUGUGAAAGCCCUGGGCUCAACCUGGGAACUGCAUACCAAACUGCGCAACUAGAGUACGAUAGAGGGGGGUAGAAUUUCAGGUGUAGCGGUGAAAUGCGUAGAGAUCUGAAGGAAUACCGGUGGCGAAGGCGGCCCCCUGGAUUGAUACUGACACUGAGGUGCGAAAGCGUGGGUAGCAAACAGGAUUAGAUCCCCUGGUAGUCCACGCCGUAAACGAUGUCUACUAGCCGUUGGAAUCCUUAGAGGUUUUAGUGGCGCAGCUAACGCAAUAAGUAGACCGCCUGGGGAGUACGGUCGCAAGAUUAAAACUCAAAUGAAUUGACGGGGGCCCGCACAAGCGGUGGAGCAUGUGGUUUAAUUCGAUGCAACGCGAAAAACCUUACCAGGCCUUGACAUCCUGAGAACUUUCUAGAGAUAGAUUGGUGCCUUCGGGAACUCAGUGACAGGUGUUGCAUGGCUGUCGUCAGCUCGUGUCGUGAGAUGUUGGGUUAAGUCCCGUAACGAGCGCAACCCUUAUCCUUAUUUGCCAGCACUUCGGGUGGGAACUUUAAGGAGACUGCCGGUGACAAACCGGAGGAAGGAGAGGAUGAUGUCAAGUCAUCAUGGCCCUUACGGCCUGGGCUACACACGUGCUACAAUGGAAAGUACAGAGGGCCGCAAUACCGCGAGGUGGAGCAAAUCCCAAAAAACUUUUCGUAGUCCGGAUCGGAGUCUGCAACUCGACUCCGUGAAGUCGGAAUCGCUAGUAAUCGCGAAUCAGCAUGUCGCGGUGAAUACGUUCCCGGGCCUUGUACACACCGCCCGUCAUACCAUGGGAGUGGGUUGCACCAGAAGUGGCUAGUUUAACCUUCGGGAGAACGGUCACCACGGUGUGGUUCAUGACUGGGGUAAAGUCGUAACAAGGUAGCCG
This 1500-nucleotide ribosomal RNA is filed under the name uncultured prokaryote. RNAcentral's name for it is "partial 16S ribosomal RNA". It matches the Rfam family "Bacterial small subunit ribosomal RNA". The record is from RNAcentral.